Molecule: ribosomal RNA, 433 nt
Filed under: uncultured bacterium
Lineage: Bacteria
Description: partial 16S ribosomal RNA
Rfam family: Bacterial small subunit ribosomal RNA
Source: RNAcentral
AACGAACGCUGGCGGCAUGCCUAACACAUGCAAGUCGAACGAGACCUUCCGGGCUAGUGGCGCACGGGUGCGUAACGCGUGGGAACCUGCCAUUAGGUUCGGAAUAACUCCCCGCAUGGGUUGCUACUACCGGAUAAUGCCUUCGCACCAAGUAUUUAUCGCUUUUGGUUGGGCCGGCGUUGGUUUAGCUAGUUGGUGGGGUAUAGGCUUACGAAGGGGUCGAUCCAUAGCUGGUCUGGGAGGAUGACCAGGCACACUGGGACUGGGACACGGCCCGGGCUGGGAAGGGAGGAAGCAGUGGAGGAUAGUGGACGAGGGGCGGAGGGCUGGUCGAGCAAUGCCGGGUGAGGGAUGAAGGCCUUAGGGUGGUAAGGCUCUGUUAGCCGGGAUGAUGAUGACGGUACCGGGAGAAUAAGCUCCGGCUAACUCCGUG